GAUGAACGCUAGCGGCAGGCUUAACACAUGCAAGUCGAGGGGCAGCAUACCCGGUGACGGGUGAUGGCGACCGGCGUAAGGGUGAGUAACGCGUGAGCAACAUACCCGUAUCAGUGGGAUAAUACAGGGAAACUUGUUCUAAUAUCACAUAAUAUUAUACGGAGGCAUCUUUGUAUAAUUAAAGUUCAGGCGGAUACGGAAUGGCUCGCGUGACAUUAGCUAGAUGGUAGGGUAAAGGCCUACCAUGGCUAUGAUGUCUAGGGGUUCUGAGAGGGAGGUCCCCCACACUGGAACUGAGACACGGUCCAGACUCCUACGGGAGGCAGCAGUGAGGAAUAUUGGACAAUGGAUGAAAAUCUGAUCCAGCCAUGCCGCGUGCAGGAAGGCGGCCCUAUGGGUUGUAAACUGCUUUUGUACGGGUAGCAAUAAGGUCUACGAGUAGAUUGAUGAGAGUACUGUACGAAUAAGCAUCGGCUAACU
RNAcentral lists this ribosomal RNA (480 nucleotides) under uncultured bacterium. Its description in RNAcentral is "bacterial SSU rRNA". It matches the Rfam family "Bacterial small subunit ribosomal RNA", at positions 28 to 502 of the family's 1533-position model. The record is from RNAcentral.